GUUUCGUUAUAUAUCUAUAGAUUAUUCGGUCACCUGAAGUAACUAAUGUGUGUUUAAGGAGUAAACAAGUUGUUAUAUUGCUUAAACAAUGUAAACAGUUUCAUAACAUACCUGGGUAAUUGAUUUAUGAAAAGCAUGACAACAACUGAUGUGGAUCUUUUCUGGGCUUCCUUUCUUGGACGUACAGAACAAGUUGAAAGAUUGCUUGAAGCAGGGGCCAAUGUAAAUUAUCAAUGUAGUAUGAAAGUAAGUUUAUGCUUUACAUCAAAUAUUCAUGAUAUAUUAUUGCAAAAAUGUUUAAAUUUUACAUACGUUGUACGUGGUUGAUAAAUUAAAAGAAAAAUCAGCAACUUUCAGUAUAGGACGAUUGGCUUUUGGAUGGAAUUACAUAUCGACAUAACAAUAUGCAAGGUUGGUUUUCUUUUCCUAGACAAUAAAGUCCUAUCUGUUGCCAAAUUUGUGCAGAAAGACUAAACACAUGCCAGAUGCGACGACUUUUCGAUGCCUAAAACAUUCAUAAAUAUCGGAUUUGCGAAUAAUUUUGGUCAAUGUAAAAUUAAUGGUGCAAGUUUCUAAAAAAAUGCGUUACUCAAAAAUGAAAACAGAAUGAGUCAUAAACGAACAAAUAUUCACAUAAUAUACAAUGAUAAUGUUAAUAAUCUCGUAUGGUUUGGCACCUAGGAUUAGAAUGAAGAAAACUGGGGAGAGGCCAGUUUGGCACCAUCAUUAAUAAAAAAAAGUAUAUAUUUUUCUUAACUUGAAUAUAGGCCGUGUCAGUGUCGUUUUUCCUUUUUUUUGCGUCAACCCUAUUUAUGAAAACCUACCAGCCAGUCCCCAAAAAUAAUUAAAAAAAAAACAACAAAAAACACACACAAAGAAAAAAAAAAACAGGGGCUCUUUUCACAAAAAAUCUUAAGACUAAAAUCAGUCGUAAGUUAUACUGAAAUAUUCAUGACUUACGAGUAUUUUUUCUCGUAAGAUUUUUUGUGAAAUGAGUCGCAGGGUCUUGCAUCUUAAUAUAGAAAAAAAAAAAUAUUGGCGGAUCAAACAAGAAUGGACAAACAAGAAACUUAGAAAACACGACGAAAAAUGCUAGGAGUGAUAUUAAAACAAACAUACAAAGAGAACCCAACAUAUCUAACUAUAAAUGAAGAUGACUGACCAUACUUUUCAAUCAAUUUGGGUACACUCAAUUGUUCCGGAUGAGAAAGCAACUUCUGCUCCUUUAUAUAUUUAAUAAACAUGUCCCAUGCACAUUUAUAUGAAACCUUCACAUAUUCUAUGCACUCACCACAUGUAUAUGCUUAUUAUAAAGAAAAACAUAUGAAAUGUAACAGUUUUAUUCUAAAAAUCAAAAGAAAAAUUGAAUGAAUUUAAAAAUUUACAAAAAACAAUUUAAAAAAACAAAAAAUGUCUGAAAAUAUCAGAACCGUAUCGAACAAAAUUUAACUUUUCAAAAAAAAAAAAA
Molecule: long non-coding RNA, 1468 nt
Organism: Mytilus californianus (California mussel)
Lineage: Eukaryota; Metazoa; Mollusca; Bivalvia; Mytilida; Mytilidae
Exons: 3
Source: RefSeq, a predicted model, not a curated record